This 253-nucleotide ribosomal RNA is filed under the name uncultured bacterium. Its description in RNAcentral is "partial 16S ribosomal RNA". It matches the Rfam family "Bacterial small subunit ribosomal RNA", at positions 524 to 776 of the family's 1533-position model. The record is from RNAcentral.
UACAGAGGUCCCAAGCGUUGUUCGGAUUCAUUGGGCGUAAAGGGUGCGUAGGCGGCGCGGUAAGUCGGGUGUGAAAUCCCGGAGCUUAACUCCGAAACUGCAUUCGAUACUGCCGUGCUUGAGGACUGGAGAGGAGACUGGAAUUUACGGUGUAGCGGUGAAAUGCGUAGAUAUCGUAAGGAAGACCAGUGGCGAAGGCGGGUCUCUGGACAGUUCCUGACGCUGAGGCACGAAGGCCAGGGGAGCAAACGGG